AGGAGAGUUUGAUCCUGGCUCAGGAUGAACGCUAGCUACAGGCUUAACACAUGCAAGUCGAGGGGCAGCAUGAAGUUUGCUUGCAAACUUUGAUGGCGACCGGCGCACGGGUGAGUAACGCGUAUCCAACCUGGCCCUUAGUAGGGGAUAGCCCGGCGAAAGUCGGAUUAAUACCCUAUGUUAUCCGAAGAGGACAUCUGAAUUGGAUUAAAGAUUCAUCGCUAAGGGAUGGGGAUGCGUCUGAUUAGGUUGUUGGCGGGGUAACGGCCCACCAAGCCUUCGAUCAGUAGGGGUUCUGAGAGGAAGGUCCCCCACAUUGGAACUGAGACACGGUCCAAACUCCUACGGGAGGCAGCAGUGAGGAAUAUUGGUCAAUGGACGAGAGUCUGAACCAGCCAAGUAGCGUGCAGGAUGACGGCCCUAUGGGUUGUAAACUGCUUUUAUGCGGGGAUAAAGUGAGGGACGUGUCCCUUUUUGUAGGUACCGCAUGAAUAAGGACCGGCUAAUUCCGUGCCAGCAGCCGCGGUAAUACGGAAGGUCCGGGCGUUAUCCGGAUUUAUUGGGUUUAAAGGGAGCGCAGGCUGAAGGUUAAGCGUGACGUGAAAUGUAGCCGCUCAACGGCUGAACUGCGUCGCGAACUGGCUUUCUUGAGUGAGUACGACGUCAGCGGAAUUCGUGGUGUAGCGGUGAAAUGCUUAGAUAUCACGAAGAACCCCGAUUGCGAAGGCAGCUGACGAGUCCUUUACUGACGCUAAAGCUCGAAGGUGCGGGUAUCGAACAGGAUUAGAUACCCUGGUAGUCCCCU
This 805-nucleotide ribosomal RNA is filed under the name uncultured Bacteroidota bacterium. RNAcentral's name for it is "bacterial SSU rRNA". It matches the Rfam family "Bacterial small subunit ribosomal RNA", at positions 1 to 799 of the family's 1533-position model. The record is from RNAcentral. Lineage: Bacteria; Pseudomonadati; Bacteroidota.